UCACCAUUAAGAUUAGAGAUAAAAAUCAUACGGCUCUUUUGCACUCACCAUAUGCCAAAUUAUAGGCACAAAUUGUAUUACAACACCUAAUGAUUAGAAAUCCAAACUUUGAAUCCAUUUCUGCUACUCUGAUCGUGCAUGUCCCCAAUGAUUACAAUCUUAAGUUCAAAUACUACUUAAGUCAUAGCUGUUGAAAAAUAUGUCUCAAAGCC
This 212-nucleotide long non-coding RNA is filed under the name Elaeis guineensis (African oil palm). Its description in RNAcentral is "long non-coding RNA (EGUI_LNC070800)". The record is from RNAcentral. Lineage: Eukaryota; Viridiplantae; Streptophyta; Magnoliopsida; Arecales; Arecaceae.